This 492-nucleotide ribosomal RNA is filed under the name uncultured bacterium. Its description in RNAcentral is "partial 16S ribosomal RNA". It matches the Rfam family "Bacterial small subunit ribosomal RNA", at positions 29 to 507 of the family's 1533-position model. The record is from RNAcentral.
AGUGAACGCUGGCGGUAGGCCUAACACAUGCAAGUCGAACGGCAGCACAGUAAGAGCUUGCUCUUACGGGUGGCGAGUGGCGGACGGGUGAGGAAUACAUCGGAAUCUACUUUUUCGUGGGGGAUAACGUAGGGAAACUUACGCUAAUACCGCAUACGACCUACGGGUGAAAGCAGGGGAUCUUCGGACCUUGCGCGAUCGAAUGAGCCGAUGUCGGAUUAGCUAGUUGGCGGGGUAAAGGCCCACCAAGGCGACGAUCCGUAGCUGGUCUGAGAGGAUGAUCAGCCACACUGGAAUUGAGACACGGUCCAGACUCCUACGGGAGGCAGCAGUGGGGAAUAUUGGACAAUGGGCGCAAGCCUGAUCCAGCCAUACCGCGUGGGUGAAGAAGGCCUUCGGGUUGUAAAGCCCUUUUGUUGGGAAAGAAAAGCAGCAGGUUAAUACCCCGCUGUUCUGACGGUACCCAAAGAAUAAGCACCGGCUAACUUCGUG